RNAcentral lists this long non-coding RNA (1055 nucleotides) under Coffea arabica (coffee). Its description in RNAcentral is "long non-coding RNA (CARA_LNC005087)". The record is from RNAcentral. Lineage: Eukaryota; Viridiplantae; Streptophyta; Magnoliopsida; Gentianales; Rubiaceae.
CUUAGUGCCAGCCGAACUCCACCAAGAAAGAAGGAAGAAAGCUUUCCACCAUUUUUGCACCAAUCUUCCUCCAUUUCAUCUCAAACUUUGCAUCCAACUCACAAACCACUUGGGAAUUCACUUAAGCUAGAAGAAAGACUUCAUCUUGGUGGUUUUUUUGGAGCUUUUGGUGCCAAAAAAUUUCUGGUUUCUCUCAAAGCUAGGAGGUAACUAUCCAACACCAUCCAAUCUUUCAUUCUUGGCUUUGAUAGGUUUUAUCCUUGGUUUUGAAGCUUGUAGCUUCAUUAUUGUUGUUAUAUCUUGGAUUGGAUUGGUUGAAGUGGGCUCUAUGAAUUCCCACCUUCAUUGUAUGGGCUGAUAUGAUGAUAUAAUGCUUGGUUUGAGUUGUUUAAGUGUUGUUUAAGAUGAUUAUGGAUAGAGAAUCGAAGGAAAGAUUGAAGGAAAUUGCGCAGGAAUGCUGGCUGAAAUCUGUUCUGUUUUGCCUUGUUUAUAAUUCAAAUUUUUUUGGUGCUCAAAUGACUGUAAAACUGAUGUAUAUAUGUUGUAUACGGUUUGUAGAAAGUUUCUACUAAAAAUCAUUUGAAUUGAUUAAGCAAAAUCUGAAUUUUCGAAACUUGAAGAAACCUGAAAAAUGUGUUCGGACAGCUUGAACAAUGUCCAUUUAAUCGAACAUAUCUCUUUGUACAGACGUCAAAAUCGAGUUCCGUUUGCAGCAUUUGAAACUAGACAAUUGUAUAUUUUCAACAGUAUAAAAUUCACCAUCUAGUUCGAACUAAGUGAACCGUAGUAGUUCACCAAAAUUUCCUGUUCUGUUAUGCUGUUCUGUUCGAAUGACAGUGGUAAGCUGAGUUUUGUCGCUUGAAUUCGAGCUAUCUAUGAACUGAUUUUCAAAACGACUUCUUCUGGUGAAAUGUAGCCUUUUGAAUCUAAUUUCCAACGCCACUAACCAUUCUCAAUUCCAAGUUCUAUUGAGUGAGAUAUGGUACAAUUUGUAAACUGCAGCAGAACUGGAAAACCCUUCUUUUUGCUGGCUGACUGGUUUGGUUGUAUGUGAG